Molecule: ribosomal RNA, 253 nt
Filed under: uncultured bacterium
Lineage: Bacteria
Description: partial 16S ribosomal RNA
Rfam family: Bacterial small subunit ribosomal RNA
Source: RNAcentral
UACGGAGGGUGCAAUCAUUAAUCGGAUUUAUUGGGCGUAAAGGGCGCGUAGGCGGAGUGAACAGUCAGAUGUGAAAUCCCGGGGCUUAACCUCGGAACUGCAUUUGAAACUCUCAUUCUUGAGGGUAGACGGAGAAAGCGGAAUUCCACAAGUAGCGGUGAAAUGCGUAGAUAUGUGGAAGAACACCGGUGGCGAAGGCGGAUUUCUAGUUUAAACCUUACGCUGCGGCGCGAAAGCAAGGGGAUCAAACAGG